This 77-nucleotide transfer RNA is filed under the name Clostridiales bacterium KA00134. RNAcentral describes it as "tRNA-Arg". It matches the Rfam family "tRNA". Rfam says of the family: Transfer RNA (tRNA) molecules are approximately 80 nucleotides in length. The record is from RNAcentral. Lineage: Bacteria; Bacillati; Bacillota; Clostridia; Eubacteriales. RNAcentral also lists the same sequence under 2 other names.
GGACACGUAGCUCAGUAGGAUAGAGCGAGGCUCUCCUAAAGCCUAGGCCGGGGGUUCGAUUCCUCUCGUGUCCACCA